RNAcentral lists this ribosomal RNA (253 nucleotides) under uncultured bacterium. RNAcentral describes it as "partial 16S ribosomal RNA". It matches the Rfam family "Bacterial small subunit ribosomal RNA", at positions 524 to 776 of the family's 1533-position model. The record is from RNAcentral.
UACGGGGGGUGCGAGCGUUGUCCGGAAUCACUGGGCGUAAAGGGCGCGUAGGUGGUCUGAUAAGGGUGUGGUGAAAGUCCGGGGCUCAACCCCGGAUCUGCCGUGCCGACUGUCAGACUCGAGGACUGUAGAGGCAGGCGGAAUUCCGGGUGUAGCGGUGGAAUGCGUAGAGAUCCGGAAGAACACCGGUGGCGAAGGCGGUCUGCUGGGCAGUUGCUGACACUGAGGCGCGACAGCGUGGGGAGCAAACAGG